CACCUGUCGCUUCUCUGGCAUCCUGGAUGAGCCCCAGCCCUGCCCCUGUGCUGCCUUUCACUUCCCACCUCCCGACCCUUCCUCGCCCUGACCCUGGAGGGAGUCUAGAGCUUCCACUCCCUGGACUGAAGAGCUGUGCACUGCAUCACUCAGAGAUAACGGAGCAGGCACACCUAGGUGGACGCAUCAGAAGAUGGGCAUGGAAGUGAAUCCUGGAGCAGCACAGGAGCAGACGUAGACAGGAAAUCAGGAGGCACUGGCCAGGAAACGCAUUUUUUUAUUUUUUGUUGUUGUUAUUGCUUUAAUAUUCGAAAGAAUGGACUUGAAAUACGAAAACUAUGUGUACGUGUUACUGUGAUAAAACUAACGCAAAUUUCUCUGAAAAACCAAUGAGCCCACAAGUGAAGCCAGCACGGGACACACAGCACGCGGAGGAGCCGCGGGCCGCCCCUCAGCCCUGCCUAACCGUGGCGUGGUCUUCCUGCUGCGGGAUCUGACCCAGGCCUGCGAGCGGCGGCAGGUUCCAGGCCAGGGCUGCUGGCGCCCGUGAAGGGAAACACGUUAGCCCGCGGACGUGGCACGGGGUCCCACCGAGCGCGUGGCCUCGCUCGGUGCCCAGAACCGGCUCCCCGGGGCCUGGCCCCCGCCCCUGCCCCUACCCCGCUCCGCCCCGGCCCCGGGGCGCGCAGCCCCGGUCCCUGCCCCGCCCUCCUCGGCCCUCCGCCGGUGCCCGGGGGCCUGUGGAGCGCCCCUCCCCCGCCUGGAAUCCCUGUCGCCGGGGACUCAGCUGACGGCGGACAGACAAUGGUAUUUCCCAUCAGCCUGGGUAUCAGGAGCCGGCCUUAUCCAGUCGUGUUUUGCUAUGGGUCCACUAAACAGGGCACUCAGCUGCUCCGGAGUGCAGCGCCAUGGACUGUGACCACUACCAGGGCUGAGAGCAGCCCCUGCUCGUCUUCCCAGAGCAGAGAUGCCUUGAGACUGAAGCUCCGUCUGGGCAGGACCAGCAACAGCCAGGGGCUCCUGCUCUGCUGGCGCCGUGCGGUCUCUGAGCACACGAGGAGAAAGGAGGCACGGAGCCUACUGUCCAGGACACACAAGUCGCUUCGCUCCCAGGAUGUGUUUAUGUCUGUUUUCUCCAACUCAAGUAUGUGCCGCGGGGCAGGGGCGGGGGUGGGGGAGUGGAUUUCCUGUCUCCUGUUACUGAGCCAUUCCCCGGAACUGGCCGUGUGCCUGGCACGUGGCUGGCACUUGGUAUCCAUCAACCUUGUGGAACAUUUACACAGCCAUAGGGUAAGAAGGGAAAUGUGAGCUCAAGGUGCUGGGAGACAGAGGAGAAGGUAAAACAUGAGAGGUAACCAGUGGACUGGGUUUUGAAGGAGGAAUAGGAGUUCAUCAGGGUGGGGGAGGCUUUGGCUCUUACAGUUAGAUUUCAGGAUAAACUUGAUAUUGAUACCGUGAGACUCUUCAGCCAAUCUCAGUAGGAGGUGAAGUACGUAUCCUAGUGAGAUUAGAACACACGUCUGGAGUUUGUCAUCCUGGGGAGGAGCCCCAGUGGCAUGCCUUGUGUGUGCCCAGUGCUGUGCGAGGCACUGGGCGCACACCUGCUGUCUGGCCCGAGAUGGGCAUUUGAGGAAGUCAAGGGCUCCAGCACUUGUUGUGGGUCUCAGAGCUGGUCGGCGCUGGGCUCCAGCCGUGCUAAGCGUGGAGUGAGUGAAAUGAAUGAAUGAAUGAAACGAAUGGAUGAAUGUCCAAAGCAGAGCCGCUGUAAAGCACCAGGCCCCACAGCCUGAGUUUCAGAAUAAGCCCCAAGGCGUUUUCCAUGUGGAAAACCUGUGUUUGGAGCCUACAGCCUUUCUGCUUCACUUCAGGCCCUCCCACCUCCUCCCUUCCAGCCCAAGGUCUCAGGAACACUCAGAAGCUCCGAGAGGGGCUGGAGAAGCUCCAUCUAUCACCAACCUUGAGACGUC
RNAcentral lists this long non-coding RNA (1967 nucleotides) under Oryctolagus cuniculus (rabbit). RNAcentral's name for it is "lncRNA (ENSOCUG00000037711.1)". Lineage: Eukaryota; Metazoa; Chordata; Mammalia; Lagomorpha; Leporidae. The record is from RNAcentral.